This 1113-nucleotide ribosomal RNA is filed under the name Bacillus velezensis. Its description in RNAcentral is "bacterial SSU rRNA". It matches the Rfam family "Bacterial small subunit ribosomal RNA", at positions 1 to 1094 of the family's 1533-position model. Lineage: Bacteria; Bacillati; Bacillota; Bacilli; Caryophanales; Bacillaceae. The record is from RNAcentral.
UUUAUCGGAGAGUUUGAUCCUGGCUCAGGACGAACGCUGGCGGCGUGCCUAAUACAUGCAAGUCGAGCGGACAGAUGGGAGCUUGCUCCCUGAUGUUAGCGGCGGACGGGUGAGUAACACGUGGGUAACCUGCCUGUAAGACUGGGAUAACUCCGGGAAACCGGGGCUAAUACCGGAUGGUUGUCUGAACCGCAUGGUUCAGACAUAAAAGGUGGCUGCGGCUACCACUUACAGAUGGACCCGCGGCGCAUUAGCUAGUUGGUGAGGUAACGGCUCACCAAGGCGACGAUGCGUAGCCGACCUGAGAGGGUGAUCGGCCACACUGGGACUGAGACACGGCCCAGACUCCUACGGGAGGCAGCAGUAGGGAAUCUUCCGCAAUGGACGAAAGUCUGACGGAGCAACGCCGCGUGAGUGAUGAAGGUUUUCGGAUCGUAAAGCUCUGUUGUUAGGGAAGAACAAGUGCCGUUCAAAUAGGGCGGCACCUUGACGGUACCUAACCAGAAAGCCACGGCUAACUACGUGCCAGCAGCCGCGGUAAUACGUAGGUGGCAAGCGUUGUCCGGAAUUAUUGGGCGUAAAGGGCUCGCAGGCGGUUUCUUAAGUCUGAUGUGAAAGCCCCCGGCUCAACCGGGGAGGGUCAUUGGAAACUGGGGAACUUGAGUGCAGAAGAGGAGAGUGGAAUUCCACGUGUAGCGGUGAAAUGCGUAGAGAUGUGGAGGAACACCAGUGGCGAAGGCGACUCUCUGGUCUGUAACUGACGCUGAGGAGCGAAAGCGUGGGGAGCGAACAGGAUUAGAUACCCUGGUAGUCCACGCCGUAAACGAUGAGUGCUAAGUGUUAGGGGGUUUCCGCCCCUUAGUGCUGCAGCUAACGCAUUAAGCACUCCGCCUGGGGAGUACGGUCGCAAGACUGAAACUCAAAGGAAUUGACGGGGGCCCGCACAAGCGGUGGAGCAUGUGGUUUAAUUCGAAGCAACGCGAAGAACCUUACCAGGUCUUGACAUCCUCUGACAAUCCUAGAGAUAGGACGUCCCCUUCGGGGGCAGAGUGACAGGUGGUGCAUGGUUGUCGUCAGCUCGUGUCGUGAGAUGUUGGGUUAAGUCCCGCAACG